CUAUACAUCAGAAUAAUGUGGACCAGAGCGGUGUGGAGAGAGGAAACCAUGGAGAUGGAGGAAGUGAUACCAUCAUGUUGGGUUAAGAAUGGUGGUGUAUUGUGGCCUACACAAGGGGCUGCGAGAGCGUUGAAGGCCUGCAAAGAACCAGAAGAGUCAUGGACGAAAUUCCCGUUCAUAAAAAUUAAGAUUCAGUCAGAUGACAAGAAUGAAUGCGAGAAGUAUGAUUUUACUACAACUGCUGAAUUGAGUGUCUCAGAAGAGGAGUUACCGAUGAAGAGGAGGCCCCAAA
This is a long non-coding RNA of Rhinichthys klamathensis goyatoka, 292 nucleotides long. RefSeq lists it as uncharacterized. The transcript has 2 exons. The record is from RefSeq and is a predicted model, not a curated record. NCBI's taxonomy places the organism in Eukaryota, Metazoa, Chordata, Actinopteri, Cypriniformes, Leuciscidae.